RNAcentral lists this ribosomal RNA (253 nucleotides) under uncultured bacterium. RNAcentral's name for it is "partial 16S ribosomal RNA". It matches the Rfam family "Bacterial small subunit ribosomal RNA", at positions 524 to 776 of the family's 1533-position model. The record is from RNAcentral.
UACGUAGGGGGCUAGCGUUGUCCGGAUUUAUUGGGCGUAAAGAGCGUGUAGGCGGCCAGGUAGGUCUGCUGUGAAAACUCGAGGCUCAACCUCGGGACGUCGGCGGAAACCAUCUGGCUAGAGUCCGGAAGAGGAGAGUGGAAUUCCUGGUGUAGCGGUGAAAUGCGCAGAUAUCAGGAAGAACACCCGUGGCGAAGGCGGCUCUCUGGGACGGUACUGACGCUGAGACGCGAAAGCGUGGGGAGCGAACAGG